RNAcentral lists this long non-coding RNA (1315 nucleotides) under Phasianus colchicus (ring-necked pheasant). RNAcentral's name for it is "lncRNA (ENSPCLG00000021326.1)". Lineage: Eukaryota; Metazoa; Chordata; Aves; Galliformes; Phasianidae. The record is from RNAcentral.
UGAAAACACAGCUCCAGCCCCAGCAAACUGUUUGUUUGCAUUCGGAGUGCUCCGUUUGCAAACCAGUAGCUUUCUGAGUAAACUUGAGACAAAGAGCACAAAUUUGGGUGAGCUGAGGGGGGCCUCUUCCUUCACACCGAUGUGAGCGAGUGCAAGCGGAGCUGUGACCUCCAGAGCAGCACUGGAGUUAUUGUACAAAAUUGUUCUGCUGUGAUUAUUGCAGAGCUGCCGCCCCAAAACGGCGCGGCGUAGCAGGGAGAAAGGAUUAUUAGCAAUUUUUGGAUAACCUUCAGAAGCAACAACGCUCUCCUCCCUCCCCUCUGUAAUUCUCACUGUAGUGCUAUUUUCCUUUAUUAUUUGGCUAUUCACGACGGCUGUCUAAACAUUUACAGUCCCCCUAUUAACAGCGUUUCUCCCCUAACAAUCGCGCACUUUCAUUUCAAUUAGAGCCAUUCAGGCUCGGGUUUUGCCACCAGGCCACGUCCCAGCCCCUCUCCCUCUGCCAGCACCGACCCGGGCAGCGCACAGCCCACAUCCCCGCACCUCCUGCCCCGCUCCAGGUUAGGAGCUCAGACCGCGAUGCGUUCUGCUUUGGGUGCGGAUCAGGAACAACACAUUAAGAACAGUUACCGCUCCCAUUGUUUGCCCGGUGUCUGAUUUUAUGGUGCAGAACUAAAGAGUGCCCGCUGAAUUUGACUAUGGAACCGGGCAAAUUGCUUUCCGAAAGACUUCUUCGGAGCACAGUGAUAAGGCACAACCCGCUCCUAGGUGCAGCGCCAGAUAAAUCCUUUUAACAGUCCUCAGAUCAGUUAACAGGGUGAGUAAAUCACAGAUCGCUGUUAGCAGAUUUAUGGGAGAGAAUUAAUAGAAUCAGACGAGAUAAUCUGGCGGGGAUAAAAUUGCUGAGGAAACAGUCCUGCCUUCUAUGGGGGGUACAGAACAGCGCUGUGAUUGCGGGCAGCCAGCGCGGGUCGGGCAUUCGGGGCUCAAUCAUCGCGGCGGCAAUUUGGCGUUUAUUAAUUCUUUUCUCUUUAAGCAACUCGCAGAUGCAAAUAAAAGCCACGCUCUCUUUGAAGACACGUUCUUUAUAUAUUUUUAUUGGAGUUUUGCAUCGGUGUUGCCGAAUCCAUCAUUUCCACUGCUUGCUUAUUGUGUUUCUGAAACACUCAAAAUAUCCCAAAUAACUUCGUAUGAUCCAGAAGGAACUUUCUUCUGGCUGGAGGUUGGUGCCACCAGCACUGAGAACAACCUGCAUUUUCCAGGAUUGCUCUACAGAAUCUCGGUGCAGAGAAGUGCAUGCUGUGAUGACGUCUGA